RNAcentral lists this long non-coding RNA (4881 nucleotides) under Sus scrofa (pig). Its description in RNAcentral is "lncRNA (ENSSSCG00000047220.1)". The record is from RNAcentral. Lineage: Eukaryota; Metazoa; Chordata; Mammalia; Artiodactyla; Suidae.
GAUAUCAAAUGUUUAUUUCUUGUUUCUAUAAAGUCCACAAUGGAAGCUCUCAGUAGACAGGUAGCGGCCCUCCAGGUUGUGAUGCAGGGAUCCAGGCUCCUGCCAUGUUAGUUCUGCUGACGUCCCCAUCACUCAGCUUUCAAGGUAUCUCUAUGCUCAUGGUGUCAGGUCACCAAGGGGAAGGGCAUGGAUAAAUCCACCUGGGAGUGUUUACGGGCUGGCCCUGGGCACAAUGGUCUUCUGCUCACAAUCCAUUCAUUGGCGAGAAUGCAAUCACAUGGCCUGUAUCCAGCAGCAGGGAAAGCUAAAAAAUUCCUUGUGCCCAAUGCAUUUCUUAUGUGCAAGUCCAGGAUUAAGCUGGCAGUCCUCUACCCACUGAUGUCCUUAGCAGCAGAUCAGAUGCUUCCUCUCAGCCCUGGACUGGUUAACUAAGAGCCAUUUGGGAUUGGGAAUACAAGGCCACUCUGGGAGUAAGGAGUGAACUCAUAUCAAUCCAUUUCAAUUCAAUGCAAUGUAAUCAAUCAAUUCAUCAACAAACACCCAGCAUGCGGGUUUCUGGGCUAGGGAUUGAAUCCGCCCCACAGCUGUAACCAGAGCCACAACAGUGGCAAUGUGGGAUCCUUAACUCACUGGGCCACCAGAAAACUCCAAAUAAAUAUUUACUGAUGCUUUUAGGAUAGAGAGAAACGCUUGGUUCUAGGGCUCUGCGGAAGAUAUAAAUUGAUAUAACCUGAAAUAGAACCCAGUCAUACCCUCAAAGAGCUGCAUGCCACUAAAGGAUCCUCAAAGCUUAUCUGUAUCUCUUAGAUUUUUUCAAAGGCUGAGGAAAACCCCAUGGGUACAAAGAAAUCUGCCCUGAAUGUUAAGCUACAGAAUAGUCCCUGCUCGCUCAGAUUCCGAAAGUCCCAUGGGUCUAUGUCCAUGCCUGCCUGCAUGUAUCCAUUUGUUCGAUUAGUUCAUUCAUGAACGUUUAUUGAGAUCUGCUCUUCUUGACAGUGUGUAGGCCCUGAGGGCUGGGAGUUGAGGAUUUUAAGUUGAAUAAGACUGAGACCAAGCCUUCUAGAAACUCACAAUGCAAGGGGUGGUCAGAAGACACGGAACUCAGUCAGAUACAAGGCCAUGGCGGGCAACACCAUGAUGAGUUUUAAACAGUGCCAGCCUGGGGAGGAAGGAGACAUUCAUUAUGAUGGGAGGGUGGCGUGGAGAAGAUUACCUCAAGGGUCCAACAGGGAGGAGUUCCUGUCAUGGCACAGUGGAAACGAAUCCGACCAGUAUCCAUGAGGACGCGGGUUCGAUCCUUGGCCUCGCUCAGUGGGUCAGGGAUCCAGUGUUGCCGUGAGCUGUGGUGUAGGUCGCAGACAUGGCUCGGAUCCCAUGUGGCUGUGGCUGUGGCGUAGGUCGGUGGCUGUGGCUGUGGCGUAGUUCGGCAGCUGUAGCUCGGAUUCAACCCCUAGCCUGGGAACCUCCAUAUGCCACAGGUGCAGCCCUAACAAGCUAAAAAAAAAAAAAAAAAAAAAAGAAAUCCAUCAAACAAUAACCUUCUUCCCAGGCCCCUGUGUAAUUGAAGUUUUAUUGUAAUUCAAAACUCCCUCCUCAACUUUUGCCCGAGAUGGCAAAGAGGGGGAAGAAUGCAGAGAUCCAGGCCUCUAAGUCUACUUACCUAGUGGCCUGACUCAGUGGAGGGCUGCUGGGUCCUUAGCUUGGCUGGCUGCUGCGGAGACCUUGGCUUCUGUGGAGUAAGACGAGAAGGGAAAUUAAAAGCCUUUAUUUUCUUUUUUCCAUCUCACUAGAGGCUGUUUAAUCUAGAAGUUAAGAUCAUGAGCUUUGCGAUCGGGAGGGUCCGAUUUAAAAUCUCAGCUCUAUUUAAUAGCUCUACAGUCUUGGGUAAGGCACUGAAUCUCUCUGAGCUCCAUGUUUCCCACCCAAAGAAAUGGAGGAAAGAGGGAGUUCCUCUGUGGCUCAGUGGGUUAAGGAUCUGGUGUUGUCACUGCUGUGGCUGGGGUCACUGCUGUGGCUUGGAUUUGAUCCCUGGCCUGGGAACUUCCACAUGCCAUGGGUGUGGCCAAAAAGGAAAAAGAAAGAAAUGGGGGAAAAUUAGGAAUGCCUUUAUUAUGAGAGUUGUUAUGAGGAUUACAUAAAACAAUAUGGGUGAUGUGUCAAGAUUCAUAGUCAGCACUCAGAGUGAGGCAUUAUUCCCACUGCCUCCUUCCUGUAAGAUCACUUAGCCCUGGCACGCCUCCUCUUCCACACACGGAGCUCUGAAGGCUUGUGACCAGUGUGCUCGGGGGUGGGGGCCAGCACCUGAGUAAAGGAGAGGGGGAAUGAGAGAUUUAGCAGUGGAAUCCCACCCAAAUCAUCUAUCCUCUGCCUGUAGCAUGACCUCCCCGUAAGGCUGAAGUCUCUCCAAUGUUUUUCGGAUCUGUCAAAACUGUUGUCCCAGCUUACUUCUCAUACCAUACCCUUUAAGGAAAGAAGGGAAAACAAAAGAAAACACCUACUACAAAUACAUGAACGAGAGAGGGGGGGGGGAGGGAGAGAGAGAGAGAGAGAAGGAGAGAAGAGGGAGGAGAAAGGGAGGGACACGGAGUUUUCUGUUGUAAUUUUCCAUCCUGCUUGUUUUUAGGUGCUGCCAUAUGAAAUGUCUGAACUGGGGAUUCUCAUCAGCCUUCCGGAGACCCAAGGACAGAGCUCUGGCUAUAAAUGGUGCCAGUUUUGGUGGGGGAGCUGCUGCCGCUUUAUCUGGGCCCAGUAAACCUUAUCAAACUGCUGUGCAGCCAGCCUUCAGCGCUAAGUGGAAAUGCUCGGAGCCCAACGCUGGCACUCAGCCCACAGCCUUGCCUGCCUUCCUCCUUUUUUUGUUACCUUCUCCACCUCUUAAAUUCGGGCAUUAAUCUCUCUUUAACACUUACUAACAAGGGCUGGGCUAUUUAAUGGGCCGAGUUUAUGAAGCAAGGGAGAUUUUCACAUAGCUUGAAUAUGGCAUGGAGGUGGAGGGGCAUGAAGGGAUUGCUCUUCCUCUCCCAUUGUUUCCAGAGAGUCGCUCUUUCUCUGAUUUGAGGAUUAAUAGGAGAUUAGAUCAGGGGUUAAUUGCACACUUCUCCUACUACUGCCCUCGGGAGGGGCUGGUAGGUGGAUGUGGACAGAGAGGCAGCAACCUUUAGCAGGUACCAUCUAGGCAGAAGCUCAACAGUUUAAUGAUUCUUUCUGCUCUUUCCCUGGGGAGGUGUUAGGCCCAUUUUCUUACUUCCCUCCUCUCUUGCCCUCCUUGCAGAGCAGUUCAUUCCCUCUUUUUAAAAAUUGAAGUGUAGUUGAUUUACAAUAUUGUGCUAGUUUUCAAGGGUACAGCAGAGUGAUCCAUUUACACACACACACACACACACACAUUUUUAGAUUCUUUUCCAUCAUAGGUUAUUACAAGGUAUUGAAUAUAGUUCUCUGUGCUAUACAGUAAAUCCUUGUUGUUCAUCAAACCACUUCUUUCUUAACUUUCUUCAAAUCCCUUUCCUCUUACAGACUGCAAAGACCUUAGCUAGGAAAGCAGUCAUAUCCUAGAUGGCUCUUUAUUGUUAAUCAAACAGAACACCCAGGGACCUGGCUUUCCCAGGCAUCUGUUGGAUGUUGCUGUAUUCACUGCUCUCACAGGAUAACUGACUCCCUUCCUUUACUCACCGUGUGCUUCUCCCUCAGCUUUGCUUCUCUCCUCUGACUCCUGCAGGUCUGAGCACUUUUCUUGUGAACAGAGAGGGCUGCUGGCUGGGAUGGAAUUGCCUAUCCUUGGGACUACCCCAUUAGCAGCUCUUGAACCCAGAUCAGUUCUGAUGUAAACCUCCCCCAAGGGGCCUUAUGGGGCCAGAGCAGAUUUUUGCUUCUAUUGGCUUCUGCCACCCUUCCUGACUCUUUAAUUCCUGGGGCCCGACUCUCCGUUAGGGACAGUGUCUGAGAUGUGCCUGGGGAUGUGAUAAAGGCACUGAACGUGGGGACCCAGUGACUGAAGCCCCUCGUUGCUAAGGCUGAAUGACCUCCAGGGCUGACUCUCCGGAGACCCAGGGAGGGCGCUCUCCGCCAUCACCCUCACCCCAACGCUCCUGGACGUUAGCCCACUGCGCCUCUCGAGCCCUAUCUUCAACAAGCUCUAGGGAAAAGGGCGGAGAAGGGGACUCUGCGCAUCCGGAGAUUUCUUCUGGUGGCUCUACCCGGGGGCUACCGACCUCAACCCCAUCCUCUAAAGUGGAGGAGCCAGAUGAGAGGAACCACUUGCGGUUCUGAAUCGUCUUCGGGCUUUUACUCGCCCCCUGAAGACUUUGCCCUGAAGGGGGUGCAGUUCUCAGGAAAUGUUUUCAACUAGGUUCCCUGGAGGGCAAAGGCUAGGGGAUGGCCAAGACUGGGAGGGAGAAAAGUUUCUCUCAGACCUCGACCUUGGCCUCCAGGGGUCGCGACAGCCAAAAUGGGGCACCGCCCCUCGACGAUAGAGCCCGCGGACCCUCUAGCAUCUGGUUUACCCGGGCCGCGAACUCUGCGCCUGGAGGCUACUGGCAGUCUGGGUGCUCAGAAGACCCGGAGGCACAAAAGGCCUGGGCUUAGGCCGGUAAAGCGCCCUUCAAAAACCGAUGUCGAGGUACAGGCAGUGCCACCCCGAGUACGUUUAGAAAAAGUGCAAGGCGAGAUGACACGCACUGAAUAGGGGCAAAUACUGGAGCCAGGGACAAAACUCCAAGCUUGGAGCAGCUGGGGAAAACAAAACCUGUGUCCAGUGGAAAUUAAAAACCUGGGGGGGUGGUUGCUCCUCGCCCCUCACCUCCAUUGCCCACUCUAAGGCUUCCGAGUCCCUGACCCUCCUCUCCGCCAGCUCCGUUCCUCUCCGCUUGGCCAGUGAGCGGCGGC